Molecule: long non-coding RNA, 325 nt
Filed under: Panax ginseng (ginseng)
Lineage: Eukaryota; Viridiplantae; Streptophyta; Magnoliopsida; Apiales; Araliaceae
Description: long non-coding RNA (PGIN_LNC002124)
Source: RNAcentral
UUCCCCCAAACUUAAGUUUUUGUCUAAAUUCAGUCAUCGCCGCCUAUUCAUGUCUUUCAUUCAUUUAAACUAGUAUUAUCCUCAAGAAGUCCAUUAUGUGUCAAUUUAAACUCAAUCAGUCAACAUAGCUGUUUUUACUGUGCUAUCCUUAUUAUAUCAGUUUCAAACAGGUAAAGAUUCAAAUCAUGACAAGAAAUCACAUCACAGUCUUAACAGUCAGUACUAUACUUGUCUACUCAAUUCUAAUCUCAUCACUGGCCAAAACAGACUUAAACUAUCUAACAGCCGGAAACAUGCAAAUAUUUGAAAUUUUCUUUUCUUUUUC